Molecule: ribosomal RNA, 253 nt
Filed under: uncultured bacterium
Lineage: Bacteria
Description: partial 16S ribosomal RNA
Rfam family: Bacterial small subunit ribosomal RNA
Source: RNAcentral
UACGGGGGGGGCAAGCGUUGUUCGGAAUUACUGGGCGUAAAGGGCGCGUAGGCGGUUCGAUAAGUCAGCUGUGAAAACCAUGGGCUUAACUCAUGGCCUGCAGUUGAGACUGUCGGGCUGGAGUGUGGGAGAGGAGAGUGGAAUUCCUGGUGUAGCGGUGAAAUGCGUAGAUAUCAGGAGGAACACCGGUGGCGAAGGCGGCUCUCUGGGACGGUACUGACGCUGAGACGCGAAAGCGUGGGGAGCGAACAGG